This is a long non-coding RNA of Acanthochromis polyacanthus (spiny chromis), 354 nucleotides long. RefSeq lists it as uncharacterized. Lineage: Eukaryota; Metazoa; Chordata; Actinopteri; Pomacentridae. The record is from RefSeq and is a predicted model, not a curated record. The transcript has 2 exons.
CCACAGGAUCAAUCUAGAUGAUGGAGAUGUUGGGAGGACUUGAUGUUUCUGGACCAGUCUGUCAAUAGAAACCCUAGCAGAAGCUGAACUCCAGACAGCAGAGCUCCCAGCAUCCUCUGAGCUCACAAACCCUCCACCACCAUAAGGUGGCAGUUAAAGGAGAGACCACAUGGUUGGUCCACACCUGGAUUCUCUUUGUUCUGCUGCUGCUGCUUCCAUCAAAGUUACACAAGCUCUGGUUGGUUCUGAUGCUGUUCAGGAACUGGUAACAUCUCUAUAGCUGCUGCUUCAUCAGGAGGAACUUGGUGGUGUCCAUUCUGCCUCAUGCAUCGUCUAUAGAUCAGAAAACCAGCA